RNAcentral lists this ribosomal RNA (225 nucleotides) under uncultured Thorsellia sp. RNAcentral's name for it is "partial 16S ribosomal RNA". It matches the Rfam family "Bacterial small subunit ribosomal RNA", at positions 568 to 792 of the family's 1533-position model. Lineage: Bacteria; Pseudomonadati; Pseudomonadota; Gammaproteobacteria; Enterobacterales; Thorselliaceae. The record is from RNAcentral.
UGCGCAGGCGGUCUUGCAAGACAGGUGUGAAAUCCCCGGGCUUAACCUGGGAACUGCACUUGUGACUGCAAGGCUAGAGUUCUGUAGAGGGGGGUAGAAUUCCAGGUGUAGCGGUGAAAUGCGUAGAGAUCUGGAGGAAUACCGAUUGCGAAGGCAGCCCCCUGGACAGUGACUGACGCUCAUAUGCGAAAGCGUGGGGAUCAAACAGGAUUAGAUACCCCUGUA